RNAcentral lists this ribosomal RNA (901 nucleotides) under Brachybacterium sp. JSM 077050. RNAcentral describes it as "bacterial SSU rRNA". It matches the Rfam family "Bacterial small subunit ribosomal RNA", at positions 56 to 966 of the family's 1533-position model. Lineage: Bacteria; Bacillati; Actinomycetota; Actinomycetes; Micrococcales; Dermabacteraceae. The record is from RNAcentral.
UGCAAGUCGAACGAUGACGGUGGUGCUUGCACCGCCUGAUUAGUGGCGAACGGGUGAGUAACACGUGAGUAACCUGCCCUCCACUUCGGAAUAACCUCGGGAAAUCGUGGCUAAUACCGGAUAUGAGCACUCAUCGCAUGGUGGGUGUUGGAAAGAUUUAUCGGUGGGGGAUGGACUCGCGGCCUAUCAGUUUGUUGGUGAGGUGAUGGCUCACCAAGACGAUGACGGGUAGCCGGCCUGAGAGGGCGACCGGCCACACUGGGACUGAGACACGGCCCAGACUCCUACGGGAGGCAGCAGUGGGGAAUAUUGCACAAUGGGCGAAAGCCUGAUGCAGCGACGCCGCGUGGGGGAUGACGGCCUUCGGGUUGUAAACCCCUUUCAGUAGGGAAGAAGCGAGAGUGACGGUACCUGCAGAAGAAGCGCCGGCUAACUACGUGCCAGCAGCCGCGGUAAUACGUAGGGCGCAAGCGUUGUCCGGAAUUAUUGGGCGUAAAGAGCUUGUAGGUGGCUUGUCGCGUCUGCCGUGAAAACCCGAGGCUCAACCUCGGGCGUGCGGUGGGUACGGGCAGGCUAGAGUGUGGUAGGGGAGACUGGAACUCCUGGUGUAGCGGUGAAAUGCGCAGAUAUCAGGAAGAACACCGAUGGCGAAGGCAGGUCUCUGGGCCAUUACUGACACUGAGAAGCGAAAGCAUGGGUAGCGAACAGGAUUAGAUACCCUGGUAGUCCAUGCCGUAAACGUUGGGCACUAGGUGUGGGGGACAUUCCACGUUUUCCGCGCCGUAGCUAACGCAUUAAGUGCCCCGCCUGGGGAGUACGGCCGCAAGGCUAAAACUCAAAGGAAUUGACGGGGGCCCGCACAAGCGGCGGAGCAUGCUGAUUAAUUCGAUGCAACGCGAAG